UGAAUCUCACUGAUUAUUUUUUGUUUUCCUUGGCAAAAUGAUUGCACAGGUUCUGGCCUAGGAAUAAUUUAACCACGUCCACAAGCUACGCGAUCGACGCCGUGUAUUCUGUCGAGAAUCUCCAUCCACUGGACGGAGCCAUUCGUUAACAUUUUCCAGGACGACAACUUUCGUCACGGGACUCCCCAUAAAAACUGCUACACCCGCACAACACUACACGCAGGGGUCAAUCUCAGACGGGGAUGGUGGCUCCAUGUGCUGCUGUUGGUUGGGCCCGGCUCGAGUGGCUGCUUUGGCAGAGGAAAAGAGAGCGAGAUCAUAUGAAUGAGGCCAAAGUUACGAGCAGCAACAGCACGUGAAACAGUCCAAGGCAUCCUUCGGAUUCACCAGAAGUGGUCACAUCCCAGAUUUUCAUUGCGACAAAGGAGGCGGGGCAGCCAGGGAUUUGCCAAAAAUCAAA
This is a long non-coding RNA of Selaginella moellendorffii, 460 nucleotides long. RefSeq lists it as uncharacterized. The record is from RefSeq and is a predicted model, not a curated record. Lineage: Eukaryota; Viridiplantae; Streptophyta; Lycopodiopsida; Selaginellales; Selaginellaceae. The transcript has 3 exons.